This 302-nucleotide long non-coding RNA is filed under the name Brassica napus (rape). RNAcentral describes it as "long non-coding RNA (BNAP_LNC022451)". The record is from RNAcentral. Lineage: Eukaryota; Viridiplantae; Streptophyta; Magnoliopsida; Brassicales; Brassicaceae.
UGAAACGAACGUGCAUUCCUAGCUAACGAAUCUGCAAUCUCAUUCUGCGUCCUUGGAAAGUAACUGAUCUUGAAGUCCGAAAAACAUAACCGAAGAGUUUGAAUGAUUUCCAGUUCAGUUGAGAAGUUGGGCCAACCUUGCGGCUGUUCUAUCAUUGCAAUCAGGUCCUUGCAGUCCGUCCCAAACCUCUGACAGGUCGAGUGUUGUAUCAUACUCUCCAUUGCCCACUUUAGCGCUUCCAGUUCCGAGUGCAGCGGUGUCUCUCUUCUCCGCAAGUUCCUUGACCCCAUGAGCUGUAUCUU